RNAcentral lists this ribosomal RNA (497 nucleotides) under uncultured bacterium. RNAcentral describes it as "partial 16S ribosomal RNA". It matches the Rfam family "Bacterial small subunit ribosomal RNA", at positions 28 to 507 of the family's 1533-position model. The record is from RNAcentral.
GAUGAACGCUGGCGGCGUGCCUAAUACAUGCAAGUCGAGCGAACAGACGAGGAGCUUGCUCCUCUGACGUUAGCGGCGGACGGGCGAGUAACACGUGGAUAACCUACCUAUAAGACGGGGAUAACUUCGGGAAACCGGAGCUAAUACCGGAUAAUAUAUUGAACCGCAUGGUUCAAUAGUGAAAGACGGUUUUGCUGUCACUUAUAGAUGGAUCCGCGCCGCAUUAGCUAGUUGGUAAGGUAACGGCCUACCAAGGCAACGAUGCGUAGCCGAUCUGAGAGGGUGAUCAGCCACACUGGAACUGAGACACGGUCCAGACUCCUACGGGAGGCAGCAGUAGGGAAUCUUCCGCAAUGGGCGAAAGCUUGACGGAGCAACGCCGCGUGAGUGAUGAAGGUCUUCGGAUCGUAAAACUCUGUUAUUAGGGAAGAACAAAUGUGUAAGUAACUAUGCACGUCUUGACGGUACCUAAUCAGAAAGCCACGGCUAACUACGUG